This 242-nucleotide ribosomal RNA is filed under the name uncultured Enterobacteriaceae bacterium. RNAcentral's name for it is "partial 16S ribosomal RNA". It matches the Rfam family "Bacterial small subunit ribosomal RNA", at positions 1141 to 1382 of the family's 1533-position model. Lineage: Bacteria; Pseudomonadati; Pseudomonadota; Gammaproteobacteria; Enterobacterales; Enterobacteriaceae. The record is from RNAcentral.
AAAGGAGACUGCCAGUGAUAAACUGGAGGAAGGUGGGGAUGACGUCAAGUCAUCAUGGCCCUUACGACCAGGGCUACACACGUGCUACAAUGGCGCAUACAGAGAGAAGCGACCUCGCGAGAGCAAGCGGACCUCAUAAAGUGCGUCGUAGUCCGGAUUGGAGUCUGCAACUCGACUCCAUGAAGUCGGAAUCGCUAGUAAUCGUGGAUCAGAAUGCCACGGUGAAUACGUUCCCGGGCCUU